This 265-nucleotide ribosomal RNA is filed under the name uncultured bacterium. RNAcentral describes it as "partial 16S ribosomal RNA". It matches the Rfam family "Bacterial small subunit ribosomal RNA", at positions 793 to 1055 of the family's 1533-position model. The record is from RNAcentral.
GUCCACGCCGUAAACGAUGGGCACUUGGUGUCGCGGGUAUCGACCCCUGCGGUGCCGAAGCUAACGCAUUAAGUGCCCCGCCUGGGGAGUACGGUAGCAAGGCUGAAACUCAAAGGAAUUGACGGGGGCCCGCACAAGCGGUGGAGCAUGUGGUUCAAUUCGAAGCAACGCGAAGAACCUUACCUGGGUUUGAAGAUCAGUUGAUCGGGGGCGAAAUCUCCCUUUCCCGCAAGGGACAAUUGGUUAGGUGCUGCAUGGCUGUCGU